AGAGUUUGAUCCUGGCUCAGAUUGAACGCUGGCGGCAUGCCUUACACAUGCAAGUCGAACGGCAGCACGGGAGCAAUCCUGGUGGCGAGUGGCGAACGGGUGAGUAAUACAUCGGAACGUGCCCAGUUGUGGGGGAUAGCCCGGCGAAAGCCGGAUUAAUACCGCAUACGACCUACGGGUGAAAGCGGGGGAUCGCAAGACCUCGCGCAAUUGGAGCGGCCGAUGGCAGAUUAGCUUGUUGGUGGGGUAAAAGCCUACCAAGGCGACGAUCUGUAGCUGGUCUGAGAGGACGACCAGCCACACUGGGACUGAGACACGGCCCAGACUCCUACGGGAGGCAGCAGUGGGGAAUUUUGGACAAUGGGCGCAAGCCUGAUCCAGCCAUGCCGCGUGUGGGAAGAAGGCCUUCGGGUUGUAAACCACUUUUGUCAGGGAAGAAACGGUCUGAUCUAAUAAAUCGGACUAAUGACGGUACCUGAAGAAUAAGCACCGGCUAACUACGUGCCAGCAGCCGCGGUAAUACGUAGGGUGCAAGCGUUAAUCGGAAUUACUGGGCGUAAAGCGUGCGCAGGCGGCUAUGCAAGACAGAUGUGAAAUCCCCGGGCUCAACCUGGGAACUGCAUUUGUGACUGCAUGGCUAGAGUACGGCAGAGGGGGAUGGAAUUCCGCGUGUAGCAGUGAAAUGCGUAGAUAUGCGGAGGAACACCGAUGGCGAAGGCAAUCCCCUGGGCCUGUACUGACGCUCAUGCACGAAAGCGUGGGGAGCAAACAGGAUUAGAUACCCUGGUAGUCCACGCCCUAAACGAUGUCAACUGGUUGUUGGACGGCUUGCUGUUCAGUAACGAAGCUAACGCGUGAAGUUGACCGCCUGGGGAGUACGGCCGCAAGGUCGAAACUCAAAGGAAUUGACGGGGACCCGCACAAGCGGUGGAUGAUGUGGUUUAAUUCGAUGCAACGCAAAAACCUUACCUACCCUUGACAUGUCUAGAAGUUUCCAGAGAUGGAUUCGUGCUCGAAAGAGAACUAGAACACAGGUGCUGCAUGGCCGUCGUCAGCUCGUGUCGUGAGAUGUUGGGUUAAGUCCCGCAACGAGCGCAACCCUUAUCAUUAGUUGCUACGCAAGGGCACUCUAAUGAGACUGCCGGUGACAAACCGGAGGAAGGUGGGGAUGACGUCAGGUCAUCAUGGCCCUUAUGGGUAGGGCUACACACGUCAUACAAUGGCCGGUACAGAGGACCGCCAGCUCGCGAGAGGGAGCUAAUCUCAGAAAACCGGUCGUAGUCCGGAUCGCAGUCUGCAACUCGACUGCGUGAAGUCGGAAUCGCUAGUAAUCGCGGAUCAGCUUGCCGCGGUGAAUACGUUCCCGGGUCUUGUACACACCGCCCGUCACACCAUGGGAGCGGGUUCUGCCAGAAGUAGUUAGCCUAACCGCAAGGAGGGCGAUUACCACGGCAGGGUUCGUGACUGGGGUGAAGUCGAAACAAGGUA
Molecule: ribosomal RNA, 1488 nt
Filed under: metagenome
Description: bacterial SSU rRNA
Rfam family: Bacterial small subunit ribosomal RNA
Source: RNAcentral